Molecule: ribosomal RNA, 460 nt
Filed under: uncultured bacterium
Lineage: Bacteria
Description: partial 16S ribosomal RNA
Rfam family: Bacterial small subunit ribosomal RNA
Source: RNAcentral
CCUACGGGAUGCAGCAGUGAGGAAUAUUGGUCAAUGGCCGUAAGGCUGAACCAGCCAAGUAGCGUGAGGGAAGACUGCCCUAUGGGUUGUAAACCUCUUUUAUGCGGGGAUAAAGGUGUCCACGUGUGGAUGUUUGCAGGUACCGCAUGAAUAAGGACCGGCUACUUCCGUGCCAGCAGCCGCGUUAAUCCGGAGGGUCCGGGCGUUAUCCGGAUUUAUUGGGUUUAAGGGGAGCGUAGGCCGGUCUUUAGGCGUGCCGUGACAUUUUGUGGCUAAACGAUGGGAGUGCGGCGCGAACUGGAGACCUUGAGUGUGGGGAAGGCAGGCGGAAUUCGUGGUGUAGCGGUGAAAUGCGUAGAGAUCACGAAGAACCGCGAUUGCGAAGGCAGCCUGCCGAAGCGUUACUGACGCUGAAGCUCGAAAGCGCGGGUAUCGAACAGGAUUAGAUACCCGGGUAGUC